UCCAUUAUGACAUCACCCUAUUUGUGAACUGAUCUCCAGUUGGCUAAGAUAACUCAUGUAACUAAUUGAGGAGGAGACAGAAAAAGAAGGGGAAAUGAUGUAGAAGAAAAAAAAAUCAAUACAGCAAUUGAUGACAGCAAGCAAGAAGAGGCAGUGGAAGUGCUAAACCAUUGCUUGGCUAUGGCAAUUAUCUGGAUGAAGGCUACAAGCUGAGGGUCCAACAAGAUAAGGCUGCAACAAUUUGUAAGUGAUUCUGCUGUGCAUAUAAGACAUGCCCACCUCUGAAACAGGACAGAGGUUAGCGUUCUACCUAAGGGUUACAUUUAAUAUCUUGUGGUUCAAUCGUCUCCAUUGAUGGACUCCACCUGUAUACAUUGACUUCAUGCGAAUGGCAUAGUUGGAUACACCAAUUGCAUUCUUGAUGACUUUCUCAGGGGAACCAAUUUCCUCCUCAUCCAGUUGUCUCAUUUGGGUCCAGGGAGAAGACAGUCCUAGCCUGAAGUCAGCUGAGCCUAAAGCUUCAGCUUUGAAGAAUUGCUGUGCAGGGAAGCUGAACUUCUGGUCUGGGGUACACUUCAGCAGUCAUUGCCAGAACGUACUGACAGCUCCUUGCAGGGAAUGGAGAAAGUUGGAGUUAAUUGAGCAUUUCGAGGGAGACUGAAAGCAAACAAGACAGCCAUAUUUCUCCUUUUCUUAACAUUUUAAAGUGGG
Pogona vitticeps (central bearded dragon) is the source of this 711-nucleotide non-coding RNA. Lineage: Eukaryota; Metazoa; Chordata; Lepidosauria; Squamata; Agamidae. The record is from RefSeq and is a predicted model, not a curated record.